UUGCGUACGUUGGCAUACGGUAUUCCGGUUGAUCUAGUUGAUGACCGCUUGGCCAUGGGUGAGAGUCAAGCCAUCAUGUGUGUCAAGCGUUUCACAGUCGAAAUUGUGCAAGUGUUUGGUCCGGAGUAUUUGAGAUCUCCCAAUGCUGAAGACGUCGCAAGGCUUUUGGAGAUGAACAAAGCUCGUGGGUUUCCAUAUAUGCUUGGCUUAAAAGAUUGCAUGCAUUAG
This 228-nucleotide ribosomal RNA is filed under the name Triticum aestivum (bread wheat). RNAcentral describes it as "partial small subunit ribosomal RNA". Lineage: Eukaryota; Viridiplantae; Streptophyta; Magnoliopsida; Poales; Poaceae. The record is from RNAcentral.